This 721-nucleotide long non-coding RNA is filed under the name Dermacentor andersoni. RNAcentral describes it as "uncharacterized LOC126529049". Lineage: Eukaryota; Metazoa; Arthropoda; Arachnida; Ixodida; Ixodidae. The record is from RNAcentral.
UUAAAAUUUUGUCCAUAAAGUAUUAAUCCAUUAAUUAGAAGGUCAUUUGAUCAAUCGUCCAUCCCUAACAAAUUGCUGUAACAGGUGCACCAUAUCAAUCCUAUGGUUGCAGGUGUGGCGUCACCAAGUGCAAUGACUUGAGCAGCCAAAUUUAGUUAACUGUGCUUUAUUCUUGCUGCAUAUAUAGUGUACAUUUGUGACAUUUCAUUUCCUAACAUAUGUCUGAUUGUGCACUGACCAUUUACUUCAGGGAAAAGUGGAAGUUGCAGACUUACCUACACAGUGCCGACUUGAAAAGCCUGUCUGCAAGUUCAGCUACACUCUUUAAGGGUGGGUGAAGGAUGUCUUGAAGGAGUUGCUGUUGGUCUCAUGGACACGGCAGCCCAGCAGUUUUGCCAUUGCAACAUUUGCAGCAAGGGCAUCACAAACGAUGGCAACUACAUCGAGUGAACAUUCGGUGCUGCUGUGAGCUCCUUGGUAUGGCUGUGUGCAGCACUGUAACACUUGGUGGAAGCACUUGAAGUGGUAGCGAAAAAUAUUAACAAUUAUCCUUGUCUGCAUCACUAUUCGUGCAAAGCCUCCCUCAUCUAUGUGGCACGUACCAUAGCUUUAAAUUGAAUUCUUCCUUUAUUGUUUCACAAGGUGUCUGAUAUGUACAGAUGUGAUCUAUAUUUUUAUUCACCCUAGUGUGGAGAGAGCAUCAUUAAAUUGUUCCUUUUUA